Molecule: ribosomal RNA, 484 nt
Filed under: uncultured bacterium
Lineage: Bacteria
Description: partial 16S ribosomal RNA
Rfam family: Bacterial small subunit ribosomal RNA
Source: RNAcentral
AUUGAACGCUGGCGGCAGGCCUAACACAUGCAAGUCGAGCAGAUGAAGGGAGCUUGCUCCUGGAUUCAGCGGCGGACGGGUGAGUAAUGCCUAGGAAUCUGCCUGGUAGUGGGGGAUAACGUCCGGAAACGGGCGCUAAUACCGCACACGUCCUGAGGGAGAAAGUGGGGGAUCUUCGGACCUCACGCUAUCAGAUGAGCCUAGGUCGGAUUAGCUAGUUGGUGGGGUAAAGGCCUACCAAGGCGACGAUCCGUAACUGGUCUGAGAGGAUGAUCAGUCACACUGGAACUGAGACACGGUCCAGACUCCUACGGGAGGCAGCAGUGGGGAAUAUUGGACAAUGGGCGAAAGCCUGAUCCAGCCAUGCCGCGUGUGUGAAGAAGGUCUUCGGAUUGUAAAGCACUUUAAGUUGGGAGGAAGGGCAGUAAGUUAAUACCUUGCUGUUUUGACGUUACCAACAGAAUAAGCACCGGCUAACUUCGUG